This 431-nucleotide ribosomal RNA is filed under the name uncultured bacterium. RNAcentral describes it as "partial 16S ribosomal RNA". It matches the Rfam family "Bacterial small subunit ribosomal RNA", at positions 29 to 507 of the family's 1533-position model. The record is from RNAcentral.
AACGAACGCUGGCGGCAGGCCUAACACAUGCAAGUCGAGCGCCCUUUCGGGGGAGCGGCGGACGGGUGAGUAACGCGUGGGAAUAUGCCCUUCUCUACGGAAUAGCCUCGGGAAACUGAGAGUAAUACCGUAUACGCCCUGUGGGGGAAAGAUUUAUCGGGGAAGGAUUAGCCCGCGUUGGAUUAGGUGGUUGGUGGGGUAAUGGCCUACCAAGCCGACGAUCCAUAGCUGGUUUGAGAGGAUGAUCAGCCACACUGGGACUGAGACACGGCCCAGACUCCUACGGGAGGCAGCAGUGGGGAAUCUUAGACAAUGGGGGCAACCCUGAUCUAGCCAUGCCGCGUGAGUGAUGAAGGCCUUAGGGUUGUAAAGCUCUUUCAGCUGGGAAGAUAAUGACGGUACCAGCAGAAGAAGCCCCGGCUAACUCCGUG